This 1079-nucleotide unclassified non-coding RNA is filed under the name Hevea brasiliensis (rubber tree). Lineage: Eukaryota; Viridiplantae; Streptophyta; Magnoliopsida; Malpighiales; Euphorbiaceae. The record is from RNAcentral.
CUUGAUUUCCAUGGGGUUAAGAUAGAGCUUGGAUGGUUCCAAGCUACUGCCUCUGGUUACUAUCAGUUGGGUAUCUUGGUAAUGGUUGGUGAAUAUUCUUUCUACAGUAUGCACCAGUCUGAUUUGUUAGAUAGAAUCAACAGUGAAUGUGCAAGGAAGAGUGCCUCUUGCACAAGCAGAAGUCUUAAGCAGCUGCAACAGGAUCGUCCAUACAUGAGUCAAGUUUUAUCUCGUAAAAAGAUGACUGGAGGAAUUAAUGGAGGUCUGAUAAAUGAUGCUACCUUGAAAUCUUUGGAGUAUAAAAGAGACUUUCUCUUUCCAUUUUCACUCUUAUUGCACAAUACAAGACCUGUUGGGCGACAGGACACACUUCAGCUUUUCAUAACUAUCAUGCUUUUGGCAGAUCUUUCCAUCACUCUCCUUGCUUUGCUUCAGUUCUAUUGGAUUUCUCUUGGCGCUUUCCUUGCAGUCCUGCUUAUUCUUCCUCUAUCCUUGCUUUCUCCAUUUCCCGCUGGUUUGAAUGCCUUAUUCAGCAGAGAACCUAGAAGAGCUUCACUUGCUCGUAUAUAUGCAUUGUGGAAUGCCACAUCUCUGUCUAACAUUGCUGUGGCUUUCAUCUGUGGCAUAGUUCAUUAUGGAUUUUCUUCUUUCCAGCCACCAGACAAGGAAAACACAUUGAACAUUAGAAGGGAGGAUGAUAAAUGGUGGUUGUUGCCAACGAUCCUUCUGCUAUUGAAGUCGAUUCAAGCUCGUUUUGUCGAUUGGCACAUUGCUAAUCUAGAAAUGCAAGACUUCUCUUUGUUCUGCCCAGAUCCAGACACUUUUUGGGCCCAUGAAUCUAGUUCUUGAUUCCAUGUUCAACACAUCAGAAUGAACUGUAUCUCUGGACUUCUCUAUCAAUGUUGAAACAGACCAAGAAAGAAGAGUCUUUUAUCUUCUGCUUCAUCCCAGGUGAGAUUGUGUCUUGCUGUGUAAAUUUUUUCCCACUGGUGUAAAGCAUUGAUUAUAGCUUGUGCAGUUUUCCUCCUCCUGUAAGUAUGGUCGUGUGCAGGACCCAUUCGAAUUAGGAUCAGUCUUAG